Molecule: long non-coding RNA, 477 nt
Filed under: Fukomys damarensis (Damara mole-rat)
Lineage: Eukaryota; Metazoa; Chordata; Mammalia; Rodentia; Bathyergidae
Description: lncRNA (ENSFDAG00000026067.1)
Source: RNAcentral
GCUUAAGUAGAGUCAUGCAGUUGGUCCUCCACUGUGUGUCCAGGUGAGGUAGCGUUUGUCUACCUCACAGAGCAGCAGGCUGAUGCUACAGGAGUAAGGAGGAGAUGCCAGGAGGGGGAUGGCAAGAGCAGGCACAGAAUCAUCCCAUGCAGUUCUUAUGGACUUCCCAGCAGGAGCAAGGCGAGAGGCAGCCAAGUUCUGGCCAGAAGGUUUUGUGUCUUUAGAGGAAGUGAGAGAGGCUUUGUCCACUCAAGAAAGAAGAGGAUAGAAGGACAAUGGCUUCUGAAAGUGAGUUUGUGGUGAUACCUGGGCUGGUUCUGAACAGUGGGUAGGUGGCAUCACAAAGGAAAGCUGUGGGUGAGACACAACUCUGCUUCUGAGAAUAAGAUGAAGGCAAAAUUAGUGGCACAGCUCUCAGUGGGCUGAGCAUCUGUUUCACUUGAGGGCGUGUGAAGGUGAGCGAAUCCAGAUCCCAAG